AUUACACAGAGUGGUAGAUGGUUGUGUCGAAUAAGUGGAACAAAAAACUAACAAAGCUACAGAUAAAAAAUGUUAUAGUUGCUAUUUGAACUUUCGGGGACGGAAUCUUGGUCUUAUUGUGAGGAUAGCGAGACUUGAAUCAACACUAUAAUCUUCCUGAAAGAGAUUUUACCAGAACAAUUUACAUACGGCUCCCUGCUAUGUUUUGCCGGCUACACACGCCCAAGGUAAUGCAUCAAAGACUCGUUUAGCUUACAGCUUUGCCACCAGAUUUGGAGGAGAGAUAUUUUGUGGCACUACUGCCAGAUCCAAAUUCGUGCAAGUUAGCGACGUUCCGUAAUAGCAUUCACAUCCGAUGGGAAAAUCCGUAAGCACUGAGAAAGUAUCACAAAAUGUUUUGCGGAUACAGAGUACAGAACAAAAACCGCUACGACUUCAGUUACGACGUGCUGAUGUUUUUACUGCUAUCCAGAAAACCCUAUUGUGCGAGUAAGAUUAUACGAACCACAUGCCGCUUCUUCGUUAUGGUAGCCAUCGUUGUAUCGGUCCAUUUCAAUGGAGUGUUGCAGUUCUGCACUUGUCAAAUUGCCUUGAUCGUUGCCUUGCUUCAGGAAGUCAAUGAAGACGUUGCUGAUAUGACCUUAUAAAUACCAUCGCACCAAUCAAAAAAGCUGUAUGAUAAACCUAAAUUGCCGCGUGACAUUCCUGCAAAAACAUACUGCAUGAUAAAAUGCUUUCGUCAUGUCCGUUUGCGCAGUGCGCAAUUCCGUCGCAAAACAACCGCUGAUGCACGCAUGUCCCGGAAUCCAAUUCGGAAUCCUCACAUGACCUUUCUUGGGGGUGGCCGGUACACGGAACGGCUGUUGAUACAAAUACUGAAAAAUCGAAAUGUUAAAUUAUGUAUGCUAUAGCACGUUGCUUUAUUUUUUUUCUCGUAUGCGAAACAGAACUAAGGCAGGAAAGUUGAAAGGGGAGUUUUACGACGUUCGUUACGUAAUAUAUAAUUACCGCUAACAUGGGCCUU
Long non-coding RNA from Paramacrobiotus metropolitanus, 1024 nucleotides. RefSeq lists it as uncharacterized. The transcript is spliced from 3 exons. NCBI's taxonomy places the organism in Eukaryota, Metazoa, Tardigrada, Eutardigrada, Parachela, Macrobiotidae. The record is from RefSeq and is a predicted model, not a curated record.